This is a non-coding RNA of Ciona intestinalis (vase tunicate), 551 nucleotides long. The record is from RefSeq and is a predicted model, not a curated record. Lineage: Eukaryota; Metazoa; Chordata; Ascidiacea; Phlebobranchia; Cionidae.
AGAAAGUUGAACGUGUGGUGUAUCACGUUUUCCUAAAACGAUUUUAGACGUUAAUCUUUUCUGUGAAUCAACUAAAACUUUAUGUGGAGAAGGUGCAAAUAAAGUGAACCUUUGAUAGUUUACAAUGUUUGCCAAGCUUGGGCACUUAAAGUGCUAAGCAAACAGGGUUUUCUUGAAUAAUAUUAAAUAGCAUAGUUUUAUAUACUUGCCCUGAAUAUUAGAGUUAAAUAUUCAGCUUUUAAUGGUUUUUACUAAACUGUCACGUUCUAGGAAAAUUAGCUAUUGGUAAACCAUCUGACGACGUUCCUAAACUCCCAAAUGACUUCCUUCAGAUGGGCGCCUGUGUGACUUCCUGUUACUGCAUAAUGGCGACAGCAAAUCAAAUGUUCUGCCUGCUAUCAUCACUUAUGAGCAGAUAGAUUACGUAAUUUUUGGUUUAAAAUUUAUAAAUAUUUUUAAUUUUUAAAACUCCAAAAAUAUUUCACUAAUUAUAAAACUGGAGGUGGUGCAUUUUUGAGUUAUGUUAUAAAGUUUUAUUGUUUUGCCAUACA